UACGUAGGUGGCAAGCGUUGUUCGGAUUUACUGGGCGUAAAGCGCACGUAGGCGGAUCUUUAAGUCAGAGGUGAAAUCCCAAGGCUCAACCUUGGAACUGCCUUUGAUACUGGGGAUCUUGAGUCCGGGAGAGGUGAGUGGAACUGCGAGUGUAGAGGUGAAAUUCGUAGAUAUUCGCAAGAACACCAGUGGCGAAGGCGGCUCACUGGCCCGGUACUGACGCUGAGGUGCGAAAGCGUGGGGAGCAAACAGG
This 253-nucleotide ribosomal RNA is filed under the name uncultured bacterium. Its description in RNAcentral is "partial 16S ribosomal RNA". It matches the Rfam family "Bacterial small subunit ribosomal RNA", at positions 524 to 776 of the family's 1533-position model. The record is from RNAcentral.